Molecule: RNA transcript, 1865 nt
Organism: Papaver somniferum (opium poppy)
Lineage: Eukaryota; Viridiplantae; Streptophyta; Magnoliopsida; Ranunculales; Papaveraceae
Gene name: F-box/kelch-repeat protein At5g26960-like
Exons: 3
Source: RefSeq, a predicted model, not a curated record
UACCACAAAUGCCCCCAAUCCAAUCUCCCACUCUCUAUUUCUCUUUCACACCCUCACUGAGUGAGUGAUUGAGAUUUCAGGGUUCAAUUUUCCAAUCCAAUCCAGCCACAACAAUGGGGGAAAACCACUGCAAUUCCAAAGGAUUUUCAAGGAUAAUGAAAUCUUGUUUUCCAAAUCCACAGCAAGAAUCUCAUCACCUGAUCAUCAAACCAUCAAUCAGAAACCGUUUACUAGAAGAUGAUCAGAAAUCUUCAUCAUUCUUCAUAUCAGUACUUCCCGAUGAUUUGCUUCUAGAAUGUUUAUCAAGAGUACCAACAUCAUCACUCUCAUCAGUUUCCCUUGUCUGUAGAAAAUGGUUCGGAAUAUUGAACUCAACGUUAUAUUUCGAUCUGCGGCGGAGUCUCGGUCAUAUCCGCCGGAAAAUCUAUGCGUUUAGCGUGACUGAUUACGGUGUUUACGCUGCUAAUCAUUGUAUUAGUAAUGAAGAAUCUGAUGAGAGUCGAGGAGAAGGUGGUACCGAUUCUUCUUCUUCUGGUGGUUGGAGUUUGGGUAGUCCGUUCAGUGCGGCCGGAAUGUUAACUCAGGGUUCGUUUUCUCAUUCGCGGGUGAUUUCGGUUGGGAAAAUGAUUUAUAUUGUGAAUAGAGAUGUUACGCUGGGUUAUGAUGUGUGGAUGGGUGUGAUUACGGUGAAAUCUCCGAUGCUUUAUCCGAGGAAGAAAUUUGCAAUGGCCAAGGUCAACGGGAAGAUUUACAUUUCCGGUGGAGCUGCACGGAAUGAGGUGGUUGAGGAGUAUGAGCCGGAGACGGAUAGCUGGAGAGUGGUUUCGGAAGCGCCGAGGAGGAGGUAUGGAUGCAUUGGAGCAGCUGUGGACGGAGUCUUCUAUGUGAUUGGCGGGUUGAAAAUCGGCGGCGGCGGUGGUGGGAAGAGUGAGGCGAUGACAAGAGGAGGGUGUUCGGAGGCGCAUUUGUAUGCGAGUUCCAUGGAUUUGUUUGAUGUGCAGAGUAGGGUGUGGAUGAGGAGCAGGACAGUGCCAGGGGGUGGAUGUGUUGUGGCGGCAUGUGCAGCUGGGGGUUAUGUUUACAUUUUGGCAAGUCAUGCUGUUGAAUUGUCUUUUUGGAGGUUUGAUGGGAGAAGGAAACGAAAUGGUGGUGGUGGUGGGUUUGGUGAGUGGUGUAGGAUGAAAAGUCCGCCGUUGCCGGCACAAGUUAGAUUGGAUAGUAGUGUCAGGUUUAGCUGUGUUGGAAUUGGUGGCGAGAAUUAUAGCGGUGGCAAUGACAAUAAGGUGGUGUUGGUUCAAGUUUUGGGAUGUAUUGAUGAUUUAUUGAGGAGAAGUGGUAGGAGUUGUAGAGGGAUGAAGGAAGGAUUGGUUUUGGUUUAUGAUGGCAAUGCGGAGGAGUGGUCAAGAGGUGUUGAUUUGCCCGAAGUUAUCCGCCGCGCUUCUUGUGUUUCCGUUGAGUGCUAAUUUGCAGUAAAUUGGAUGCUUGCUUAUGUAAAAAAGCUCAAAAACAGUACAGAUCUUUGUUCAGAAUGAACCUGGAACUAACUCGAGCAACCAGUUUAGAGUACAUCUGCAGCAAGUCAUCUCCCAGAAAACAUGGCGUGAAUUGUUGCAUUUUCAUGACAGAACAGAUGAAGUUACAAGAGCUAAAAGGCACUGUAACGCAAGAUGGAAUGAGAACAGCAGGGGUUAUAUCGAAAUUAGAAUGAACAUUUCUUAGAAUCUCGUUGUUAGAUUGUUAUUGAAUAUCUUCUUAAUUUUAGUAUGUUGUUAGAAUCUGCUACAAUUUUCAAAUGUUAUUAGGCAUUUCAUAAGUCUUGUAUCACAUGGUUCUCUAGAAUAAUGAAAGAAGUGAAUUUUUGGAUU